This 948-nucleotide ribosomal RNA is filed under the name Triticum aestivum (bread wheat). RNAcentral's name for it is "partial small subunit ribosomal RNA". Lineage: Eukaryota; Viridiplantae; Streptophyta; Magnoliopsida; Poales; Poaceae. The record is from RNAcentral.
AUGUCCGACCCGGCCUCCGCCCAGGGGCCCGACGCCGAGAUGCGCGACGCCGCCGCGGCAGCCGGCGACGAGGACGGCAGCGAGGACGACGCGGAGGAGGAGGAGGAGGAGGAAGAGGACGAUGAGGAGGAGGAGCUGCCACCUGCCGAGGAGCCGCCGUCGCCGGCGGCCCCAGAACCGGUCUCGGCCUUUCCGGGGAACCCGAACCAGCUGACGCUGCUGUUCCAGGGCGAGGUCUACGUCUUCGAGUCCGUCACCCCUGACAAGGUUCAAGCUGUCCUGUUACUGUUAGGAACUGGUGAAAUUCCACCCGGUCUAUCUGCCAUGGUUUUACCCAGUCAACGUGAAAAUAGGGGUUAUGAGGAUUUACUUCAGAGGACAGACAUUCCUGCAAAAAGGGUUGCUUCGCUCAUCAGGUUCCGCGAAAAACGCAAGGGGAGAAAUUUUGAUAAGCAAAUACGCUAUGCUGUACGCAAAGAAGUGGCACACAGGAUGCAGCGUCGGAAGGGGCAAUUUGUUGGAAGAGCAAAUUUGGAGGGGGAAUCCCCUUCUCCAGGCUGUGAUCCUGCCUCCCAGGGCUCAGGCCAAGAUUUCCUGUCUCGAGAAUCAAAGUUGUGUCAGAAUUGUGGCACUAGUGAAAAGAUGACACCGGCAAUGCGUCGUGGUCCAGCUGGUCCAAGGACUUUGUGCAACGCUUGUGGACUGAUGUGGGCCAACAAGGGCACACUGAGAAGUUGCUCCAAGGCAAAAGUUGAAGCUCCUAUGCCUGCAAUUGAGCAGUGCAACGCCGCUGUCGCCCAGUGUCAGACUGGAACCGAUGUCAAAGCACUGCCGGCUCCGAACAACUACGGCGUCGCUCCAAGCAAGGGCGAAGCCAUGGAUAACAGUGUGACUGCGAACGUGACUGCUGCUGCGACAGGAGGAGCGCCGAAAGCGCAGUCAGAAUAA